This is a long non-coding RNA of Polypterus senegalus (gray bichir), 218 nucleotides long. RefSeq lists it as uncharacterized. The transcript has 3 exons. The record is from RefSeq and is a predicted model, not a curated record. Lineage: Eukaryota; Metazoa; Chordata; Cladistia; Polypteriformes; Polypteridae.
UGAAUCCAACCUGUUAACUGGGAACAUCAUGAUUCUUAAUCGCCAAAAAAUGGUUACACUAUUUGUGAUCAGUGUCAGUAUUACUUUUUUCUCUUUAGGCUGCUCCAUGUAUUUCUUUUACAAGAAUUCAGGCAAAAGUCCAGGAGUUCUUGGUGCGUCAAGAUUCAGAAGAGAAAAUCCCAUCACAAAAUUUUUUUACCCAAAAACCUGCAUCCCCA